AGAGUUUGAUCCUGGCUCAGGACGAACGCUGGCGGCAUGCCUAACACAUGCAAGUCGAACGGAGAUUAUUUCGAUAAUCUUAGUGGCGAACGGGUGAGUAACGCGUGGGCAACCUGCCCUCUAGAUGGGGACAACAUCCCGAAAGGGGUGCUAAUACCGAAUGUGACAGCAAUCUCGCAUGAGGAUGCUGUGAAAGAUGGCCUCUAUUUAUAAGCUAUCGCUAGAGGAUGGGCCUGCGUCUGAUUAGCUAGUUGGUGGGGUAACGGCCUACCAAGGCGAUGAUCAGUAGCCGGUCUGAGAGGAUGAACGGCCACAUUGGGACUGAGACACGGCCCAGACUCCUACGGGAGGCAGCAGUGGGGAAUCUUCCGCAAUGGGCGAAAGCCUGACGGAGCAAUGCCGCGUGAGUGAUGAAGGAAUUCGUUCCGUAAAGCUCUUUUGUUUAUGACGAAUGUGCAGGUUGUGAAUAAUGACUUGUAAUGACGGUAGUAAACGAAUAAGCCACGGCUAACUACGUGCCAGCAGCCGCGGUAAUACGUAGGUGGCGAGCGUUGUCCGGAAUUAUUGGGCGUAAAGAGCAUGUAGGCGGUUUUUUAAGUCUGGAGUGAAAAUGCGGGGCUCAACCCCGUAUGGCUCUGGAUACUGGAAGACUUGAGUGCAGGAGAGGAAAGGGGAAUUCCCAGUGUAGCGGUGAAAUGCGUAGAUAUUGGGAGGAACACCAGUGGCGAAGGCGCCUUUCUGGACUGUGUCUGACGCUGAGAUGCGAAAGCCAGGGUAGCGAACGGGAUUAGAUACCCCGGUAGUCCUGGCCGUAAACGAUGGGUACUAGGUUGUAGGAGGUAUCGACCCCUUCUGUGCCGGAGUUAACGCAAUAAGUACCCCGCCUGGGGAGUACGUCCGCAAGGAUGAAACUCAAAGGAAUUGACGGGGGCCCGCCAACCGGUGGAAUUAUGUGGUUUAAUUCGACGCAACCCGAAAAACCUUACCAAGGUUUGACUUUGAUGGCCCCUUCAAAAAUGAGCUUUCCCUUCGGGGAAUAAAAACAAGGGGGGCCAGGCUGUCUUCACUCCUGUCUUGGAAAUUUGGGUUAAUCCCCCAACAACCGACCCUCUUCCUAUGUUCCCCCGGGUAAGCCGGGGACCAAAAGGAAUGCCAAGGACAUUUGGGAGGAGCGGGGUAACCUCAUGUCCUCCCCCCUUAUUUUUGGGCCACCCCUCCAAAUGGUGGCAAAAGAGGAAGCGAAGCCGUGAGGCAGAGCAAACCCCAGAAACCCGAUCUCAGUUCGGAUUGCAGGCUGCAACUCGCCUGCAUGAAGUCGGAAUCGCUAGUAAUCGCAGGUCAGCAUACUGCGGUGAAUACGUUCCCGGGCCUUGCACACACCGCCCGUC
Molecule: ribosomal RNA, 1388 nt
Filed under: uncultured bacterium
Lineage: Bacteria
Description: bacterial SSU rRNA
Rfam family: Bacterial small subunit ribosomal RNA
Source: RNAcentral